GCGGCAUUAGCUCAGUUGGUAGAGCACUGGAUUGUGAUUCCAGGUGUCACCGGUUCGAUCCCGGUAUGUCGCCCCA
This 76-nucleotide transfer RNA is filed under the name Zoogloea ramigera. RNAcentral describes it as "tRNA-His". It matches the Rfam family "tRNA". Rfam says of the family: Transfer RNA (tRNA) molecules are approximately 80 nucleotides in length. Their secondary structure includes four short double-helical elements and three loops (D, anti-codon, and T loops). Lineage: Bacteria; Pseudomonadati; Pseudomonadota; Betaproteobacteria; Rhodocyclales; Zoogloeaceae. RNAcentral also lists the same sequence under 17 other names. The record is from RNAcentral.